Salvelinus fontinalis (brook trout) is the source of this 384-nucleotide long non-coding RNA. RefSeq lists it as uncharacterized. The record is from RefSeq and is a predicted model, not a curated record. The transcript has 4 exons. Lineage: Eukaryota; Metazoa; Chordata; Actinopteri; Salmoniformes; Salmonidae.
CAGCAGGUCAGAGUGUACCUGUAUACAGGCUCCAGUCUGGUCUACAGAGACAGCAGGUCAGAGUGUACCUGUAUACAGGCUCCAGUCUGGUCUACAGAGACAGCAGGUCAGAGUGUACCUGUAUACAGGCUCCAGUCUGGUCUUUACAGAGACAGCAGGUCAGAGUGUACCUGUAUACAGGCUCCAGUCUGGUCUUUACAGAGACAGCAGGUCAGAGUGUACCUGUAUACAGGCUCCAGUCUGGUCUUUACAGAGACAGCAGGUCAGAGUGUACCUGUAUACAGGCUCCAGUCUGGUCUUUACAGAGACAGCAGGUCAGAGUGUACCUGUAUACAGGCUCCAGUCUGGUCUUUACAGAGACAGCAGGUCAGAGUGUACCUGUAU